Molecule: ribosomal RNA, 483 nt
Filed under: uncultured bacterium
Lineage: Bacteria
Description: bacterial SSU rRNA
Rfam family: Bacterial small subunit ribosomal RNA
Source: RNAcentral
GAACGCUAGCGGCAGGCUUAAUACAUGCAAGUCGUGGGGCAGCAUGAGUAGCAAUACUUGAUGGCGACCGGCAAACGGGUGAGGAACACGUACACAACCUUCCUUCAAGCGGGGAAUAGCCCAGAGAAAUUUGUAUUAAUACCCCAUAAUAUAUUUGAUAAGGCAUCUUAUUAAUAUUAAAGCUUCGGCACUUGAUGAUGGGUGUGCGGCUGAUUAGAUAGUUGGCGGGGUAACGGCCCACCAAGUCUACGAUCAGUAGCUGAUGUGAGAGCAUGAUCAGCCACACGGGCACUGAGACACGGGCCCGACUCCUACGGGAGGCAGCAGUAAGGAAUAUUGGACAAUGGACGAAAGUCUGAUCCAGCCAUGCCCGCGUGAAGGAUUAAGGUCCUCUGGAUUGUAAACUUCUUUUAUAUGGGACGAAAAAAGGGCAUUCUUGUUCACUUGACGGUACCAUAUGAAUAAGCACCGGCUAACUCCGUG